This 3396-nucleotide long non-coding RNA is filed under the name Homo sapiens (human). Its description in RNAcentral is "non-protein coding lnc-VGLL3-11:1". The record is from RNAcentral. Lineage: Eukaryota; Metazoa; Chordata; Mammalia; Primates; Hominidae.
GCUUGGCGGGCCCCGCACGCGAAGCAGCCGGCCGGCCCUGCCGGCCCCGGGCAAUGAGGGGCUUAGCACCCGGGCCAGCGGCUGCGGAGGGUGUACUGGGUCCCCCAGCAGUGCCGGCCCACCGGCGCUGCGCUCUAUUUCUCGCCGGGCCUUAGCUGCCUUCCCGCGGGGCAGGGCUCGGGACCUGCAGACCGCCAUGCCUGAGCCUCCCACCCCCUCCGUGGGCUCCUGUGCGGCCCGAGCCUCCCCGAUGAGCGCCGCCCCCUGCUCCACGGAGCCCAGUCCCAUCGACCACCCAAGGGCUGCGGAGUGCGGGCGCACGGCGCGGGACUGGCAGGCAGCUCCACCUGCAGCCCCGGUGAGGUAUCUACUGGGUGAAGCCAGCUGGGCUCCUGAAUUUGAUGGGGACAUGGAGAAGCUUGGUGUCUAACUCAGGCAUUGUAAAUGCACCAAUCAGCGCCCUGUCAAAACAGACCACUCGGCUCUACCAAUCAGCAGGAUGUGGUGGGGCCAGAUAAGAGAAUAACAGCAGGCUGCCCGAGCAGCAGUGACAACCCGCUCCGGUCCCCUUCCGCAGUGUGGAAGCUUUGUUCUUUUGCUCUUUGCAGUAAAUCUUGCCACUGCUCACUCUUUGGGUCCACACUGCCUUUAUGAGCUGUAACACCGCGAAGGUCUGCAGCUUCACUCCUGAAGCCAGCGAGACCACGAGCCCACCGGGAGGAAGGAACAACUCCAGACGCGCCACCUUAAGAGCUAUAACACUCACCGCGAAGGUCUGCAGCUUCACUCCUGAGCCAGCGAGACCACGAACCCACCAGAAGGAAGAAACUCCGAACACAUCUGAACAUCAGAAGGAACAAACUCCGGACACGCCGCCUUUAAGAACUGUAACACUCACCGCGAGGGUCAGCGGCUUCUAUUCUUUAAGUCAGUAAGACCAAGAACCCACCAAGUCCGGACACAAUAUUUUCUAUUAUCUAUGUUUGAUUCUUGUCAUAAACAUCUGAACUGUUAAGGUAAUUCACUAAUGGAUCACAAUCUGCACUUCGAAAAUUACUGGACACUUCUUAUUCACACGUAAUACAUUCUGCCUUAACACAGUGCACUCUAAGAGAAUUAAUGAAAUGCAGAAAAGACUAUAGGUUUGUAAAAUUCACUCAGCAAAGUCAUUCAUUGUGUUGCUUAGGUACAUAAUAUUUCAAAAACUAAGCUUCACUGAGCAUCUGUAUUGACCACUUUGAAGUGAUAGUUUUAUAGCUGGAUCUUCCUACAUCAUGUACUAUCUGAACACAUCACACUAGUUUUGAUCGUUUGGUCUCAUUAACUCCAAUUAUCCAAAUUGGUAUGUAGGGAAAUAUACAAUACGGUGUUGACAGUUCAUAAGUAUUUGACUAUUAAUGUGUUGUCUAUAAAAUACUCAACCUACUCAGGAAACACAAUUCUUCAAAGAAAUAAUAAAAGAAUGAUCCAGCAUGAUCUAGAUUGUGUUACAUUCAAAUAAAGAAAAAUAAUGCAAAACAAUGCAACCUAACCUACCAUUAAAUUUCUAAGUAAUGACCAAAAUCCUUAGCUUUAUACAUGCAUUAUUUAAAAUUAUGAAACCCAGGAGACUUAUUUACAAUUCAUCCUUAAAUAGUGGAAUAAAAAUCAAUAUAACUGUUUUGUCAAUGCAUUUGACUUCCUGAGCAUAUUUUCCAACAGAAGCAUGCUUAUGCAAAUCCAGAAAUGAAAUGUUAAAAAUUCAGAAAUCAAAAUAUUUCUUUAAAUAAACUUGUUGAGAAAUUUUUUACUCAGUAAACAUUUUUAACAUCCACUGAGUUUUCUUAAUUCCACUAUUUUUCUGAAUUGUCAUUUCUUCAUAUAAAAAUAUUUGAAUAAGUAAAACUUUAUGUUAGGAGUAUAUGUAAGUAUGUGUGGCUACCAUUUCAACUAAAACUUAGGGUGGGAACCUAUCUGAGGAUCUUUUUUAAAGCUGGAUACCUUAUAGAACUUGUAAAAUAAAAAUCUUUUUUUCUUUUACAAUCUUUUACAAUUUUUCUUUUACAAUCUUUUAAAAAGGGAUCUAUAUCACUUAAAUCCUCAAAAAAAGGUUAUAUCAUGAGGGAAUAGAAGAAAUACUUUCUGUUGACAUAAACAGUAAUUGAUAAGGUUUUCUUGAAUACUUUUAUAGAAAUGCUGAUGUAUUACACUUAAGAUUACUAGUUAGCUCUCAUUUCCUUUCAACUUUUGCCUCUGGAUAAGCUCAACUAUUCCCAGGAAGAAACAGUGAUCAAGUACAUUUGUCAUGCGAGCAGCUAUAAUAAGGUAAUUCAUCAUAAUCUGUCAGAGUUUUAUUCUAGAAAGACUGCUACAUUUUUUUUCUUACUUAAAAAUCUGCUGUCACUCCUGUUGAAAAUUUGGUAGACAUUUUGGACAUGUUUAAAAGCCCUUCCAAACUGAUAGUUGCAGAUAAUUAAGUUAUUGGCUAUCAAAGAUUCUUUUUCUCUUUUUCUUUUUCUUUUUUUUUAACAAUAUAUAUGACACUAUGAACCCUUCUAGCUAGUUUAAUCUGACCUGUUCACAGAGCAUGAUCCCUCAUUCCCUUUCCUUUUUCCUCCUUAAGAGUAGCCAACGACCAAAGUAAUUCACAAUGACAAAUGAAGCCUUUCUCAAGAGUCUAAUUGAGCAAUUUUGUUUUCCUUUGCAAGACCUGAAAUCUACAGCAUUCUGAACUCCAUUCACUGAAGUGGCAAGAGAUAGUGGUCAGAAGGAAACUAGGUGGAUUAAGGGGUUUCUAGAAAACAAGUAAAUAAACUCUACCUAGGUGUGACAUCUUACAUCUCAGUAAUAUUUCAAUUCAUCUACUCAAUUACUUACUCCGUGUAUCCUUUACUUUAAGCCAUUUUUAAUAAAGUUUCAUUGUGAUGUGUACUUUAUUGAAUCCUAAAGUCUCAGUCACUACUCUCUCAUUCUUUUGUAAUACUUCCUGCAUUUUUUCAGCGUUUAAAUUCAUGCUUUCUUAGAAGAAGAAUUAUAUUAGUCUUUUCUCUAGCCAAUUGUGUGAUAUCCUUUUGUACUACCUUAGAGAUAGACUGUGUUUGGCUUAAGGACAAGAAAGGAGAUAUAAUAAAUGUUUUAAUUGGCUUUUCAAAAAAUUUACAUUAUUCUCAUACAAUGUACAUUUUAUACAUUAACUGAUUAUCAAACCCAAGAGCAUGUUCUCAUUGGUAGCAACCACUGGCAAAGUAUUAAACGAAGAUAUACAUAUAUGUGCAUAUUCAAAUAUAUAUGUGCGUAUAUAUACAUGUAUGUAAUGUUUUAAUGACUGCUAAAUACAAAAGAAUAUGUAAAUACAUAUUGAAGUAUAAAUUAUGAUAUAAAUAUAUUGUUAUUCUCUUCUAGUAAUUUGAAUUUAAG